RNAcentral lists this long non-coding RNA (3643 nucleotides) under Homo sapiens (human). RNAcentral describes it as "non-protein coding lnc-MALT1-7:5". The record is from RNAcentral. Lineage: Eukaryota; Metazoa; Chordata; Mammalia; Primates; Hominidae.
AACCUGAGAGAUGGCCUGGAGGCAGGGUGGCAUGUUGUUUUUAAAGUGAUACAAGAGACACAGUGGAGACCGUCCAAUGAGUGGCAUGGCUGCCAGGAUGCCAACUGGGACACUAAAGCCCUGGCAGUGGGGGCUGCCCAGCAGGGCUGGCCACUAGAAAUAAGAGAUGCAAAUUCAUCUUCUAUCAUAGCCAAAGAAGACCAACAAAGACCAACAGAGGCCAUGUCUCGCAUUCAGCUCCAACAGCAGGCAGUAGAUUUGUUACAGAGACUAAAACCCACCUUAUUGCCAAGUGACCCUCCUCUCACCAGCCUCCCCUGCUGCCACCCAAAUUCCUGCCACUGAACUACUCCUCAAAAUAAAACACAGCUGUAAAAUGCACACCUGUUUUGGAUUAGUUACAAUAAAUCAGGAUCUGUACUUAUUUCAGUUCCCCAGACAGGUGAAGAACAAGCUGCGUUUAUAGCAAGCCAACUAGAAAGCAGAAGAAAAUUCCAGUCACGAGUUUUUGUUUUUCCUCUUAGGGCAAAGGAGGUUACACUUGAGGAGCCUAAAUUUCUUGUUGUUUCCAAACUCCUGUGAGUCUUUACAGAAAUGCCUCUAAAAGUUGUAGUAUUCUCUCUCUAGAUCCAUCUAACUGAGCCCAUGGUUUCCAAACUUUAAUGCCCAAGAGAAUCCUCAGACCGCAUAUUAAAAAUGCAGGUUCAGGCCUGCAUUUAUUUCUCAGACAGCAUAUUAAAAAUGCAGGUUCAGGCCUGCAUUUAUUUCUCAGACAGCAUAUUAAAAAUGCAGGUUCAGGCCUGCAUAUUUUUUCACGGUGGCUCAUGUCUAUAAUCCCAGCACUUUGGGAGGCCGAAGCAGGCAGAUCACCUGAGGUCAGGAGUUCGAGACCAGUGUGGCCAACAUGACGAAACCCUGUCUCUACUUAAAAAAAAAAAAGGCCGGGCGUGAUGGCAGGCCCCUGAGGUCCCAACUACUCGGAAGGCUGAGACAAGAGAAUCGCUUGAACCUGGGAGGCGGAGGUUGCAGUGAGCCGAGAUUGCGCCACUGCAGUCCAGCCUGGGUGACAGAGCAAGACUCUGCCUCAAAAUUAAUAAAAAUGCAGGUUCAGCAAGUCUGUGGUAAAACUUAGGGACCUAUGUUGUUUUUUUAAACACGCACCUCAUCAGGUGAUUCCAAUGCAAAUAGUCCAGGCCCUCACUUUAAGACACUGCCCUGGGGACUCCAAGCAGAGUAGAACCACCUGAACACGAGACAUCCAAAUCCUUAGUGCAGGCUGUUUGCCAGGACAUGUUUCUGUAAUGAGUUAGCUCUGUGAGAUCGGUCUACAAGAGAAUGAUGUCAGUAUAACCAACACGUGGCAUUGGUUCAUACGCAGUUUUUCUUUGGCAAAGGGAACCAGAAUAGCUGGAAUAAAUUACAGAAAAUUGAGCAGGAAAACAAGCCUUUGACUCAGCCUCUGCAUUGGCAGCAGGGGCCCUAUUAAGUUGUAUUUUAACAGAAUUUCAAAUGCAGCCUGCCCUCAGUGGUCCUCUCUCCUAAGAAGCAAACUCCAAGCCCGUGUGUCUAAGGGCAGGUUGAGUGGCGCCCCCAGACCCACUUUAACAGCAGCUUUGCUGGCUCAGAGACCCACUUCUGUCUUUGAGGUCUCCGCACCCUCAAGCUGGCUCCAUCUGAAAGAUCUCCAGCAUCUCCACUCUGUUGUGUGUUUUUAAUAUCUGCCAUGGUGGCCUCCUGCCAGCCUGGGCCACCUCCCUGGGCAGUCCAAGUGAGUUUCCCGGGCACAUGUUUUGAUUUUAUUAGUUUCUGGUUUCAAAAUGGUCUGUUUCCUAAGUGACCUCUUGGGGAUGCUAAUUUUCCCCAAAGCCCUUACACUUUAAGGGUGUGAUUUUUCAGAAUGUGAGGUGUUUCUGGGAUGCAUAUAUGGCACUAGGACAGGAACGCCUUAUGUGUGAAGAAUACCCAUUGCCUCUGUUUGAAAAGUGCUAUUGAAUAACCUGAUGCUGUGUUCCUUGGCUAAGAUUGUGGGAAAUCACGGGCAAGGACUCCCGAAUCCCCAAGAAAGUACAUCACAAGCUGUAUAGCCUUUAGCUCUCUGCAGCCCUACUCAGGGGAGGUGGAACUUGGAACCCCCCAGGAUUUAGCUCCAUAUGGGCUCCAGGACUCUCAACCACAGCUGUGCCUCAGUUACCCAGGGUCAGCUGGAGCUUCCAUAAGGCACGCACGCCUGAGCUCUACCCUCGAUCUAUUGAAAUAAGGACCUCCGGGGUGGGGCUUGUAUGUCUGUAUACAGUUAGCCUCUGUAUCCGUGGGUUUUAAAUUUGUGGAUUCAACCAAUCAUGGACCCAAGAGAUUUGGGGAAAAAUUGCAUCUUUACUGAAUGUGUACAGACUUUUAAAAUUGUUACUCUCAGCAAUAGAGUAUAACAACUAUUCACGUAGCAUUUACAUUGUAUUAGGUGUUAUAAGUAAUUGGAGAUGAUUUGAAGUGAACAGGAGGAUGUAUAUAAGUUAUUUGCAAAUACUAUGCCAUUUUAUAUCAGAGACAUGAGCAUCCUCAGAUUUUGGUAUCUGAGGGGGGUCCUGGAACCAAUCCCCUACAGAUACCAAGAGACAAGUCUAUUUAGAAGUUACAGGCUGGGCACAGUGGCUCACACCUGUAAUCCCAGCACUUUGGGAGGCCAAGGCAAGAGAAUCACUUGGGGCCAGGAGUUCGAGACCAUCCUGGGCAACAUGGCAAAACCCCAUCUCUACUAAAAAUAGAAAAAUUAGCCAGGUGUAGUGGCAUGUGCCUGUAGUCUCAGCUGCUCGUGAGCCUGAGGUGGGAGGAUCACCUGAGGUCCAGGCUGUAGUAAGCAGUAACCAGGCCACUGCACUCCAACCUGGGUGACAGAGACCCAGUCUUGGGGGGGAGAAAAAGUUUCCAUAUGAUUGUGUAGCUCAGCCAAGGCUCUCAACCUUGGAAGUAUAGAGAAUCACCUGGGAGCUUUUAGAGCUUCCAACGCCCACACUGCAGACCAAAUCACAUCAGAAUGUCUGAGGGCAAAACCCAGGCAGCUGAAUGUUCUAAAGCUCCCAGGUGAUUCCAUGCAUAGCUAGGGUUGAGGGCUUGGCUUUGGGGUCUUUUCUAAUCUGAGAAGGAUCCUAUACUCUGUGGACUGGGGCUAUUGGAACUUCAGUGUGUGUAUGAAUCUCCUACGAGUCUGGUUGAGAAUGCAGAUUCUGAUUCAGUAGGACUGGAACAGGGCUUCUGAGCCUGCAUUUCUAACCAGCUGGUCCGCGGACUACACCAAGAGUUGCACAACUGCAGGCACUAAUGACUCUUUAUUGAUUAUUUAACCCUGACUGAGGAUAAUAACUGUAGUAAGCCAGGACAUUAAACUGCAGGUCCAGGACAGUUAAUGGUAUUUGGCAGAAGUGGCACAGCAGGCUUUGUGAUUAAAAAGAAAACAAAUGUUUGUGUUCCUCCCUGGGUCAGCUAAGGAAUGGUACUGACAAGAGGCAUGCUGGCCACACUCUAAGAGAUGAGUGACUAGAAACCUCCGCCCUUCUGGCUGGGCGCGGUGGCUCAUGCCUGUAAUCCCAGCGCUUUGGGAGGCUGAGGUGGGCGGAUCACAAUGUCAGGAGGUCAAGACCGUCCUGGC